Nomascus leucogenys (northern white-cheeked gibbon) is the source of this 1478-nucleotide long non-coding RNA. RefSeq lists it as uncharacterized. The transcript is spliced from 2 exons. NCBI's taxonomy places the organism in Eukaryota, Metazoa, Chordata, Mammalia, Primates, Hylobatidae. The record is from RefSeq and is a predicted model, not a curated record.
UGAGCCACCACGCCCGGCUGGUAACAAGUUUUAUGAAGAAAAAUCAGAAUGAAGAUGAUGGAGUAAAAUCGUUGUGGGGGAGGUACUAUUAAUAUAAGGUGGUCAGCAACGACCUCUCUAAUAGAUGAUGUUUGUGCUGAGCCCUGAAGGAAGCAAGCUAUAACCUUGGAAACAGUAGGUACAAAGGCCCUGAGGCAUGUGUACUGUGAAGCCAUCUAUAGACUUAAGAGGAUGUUCCCUAGGCUGAAUUAAUUCUUUUAGAAUAUUUUAUAUCUCCAAAAUCAAGGAUCAGUUAUAUUAAUAAAUACAUACACUUAUUAAGCUACCCAUUUAUAAGAAAUAUAAAAGGUACAUUUUCAUGAAAACAGGUUCAUUUUCUUCAGAUGAGGCUGGAAUUUAGGAUUGUACAGAGUCUACAGGCUGACUCCUGCAUUCACCUUUGGUCUUAUACAGUGAUACUCCUGAAAUCCUAAAAUGGUUAAGUUCUGUUUCUAUCAGUUGCCCCUCCUAGCACUCUGCCUCUAAGAACCAGAACAAACCUCUUUGCAUUUUCUGCGAGUCAUGCACUGUUUAGAGACUAAGGAGGCCUGAGCAGGAAGAAUCUGCCGGUUGAUAACUCUUAGCUCUGUUUUCAGAACAAACACACCCGUUUAAUGAAAACAGUGUGUGCACUGAGUGUUAUUUUAAGGGAAACAGCACAGAAAGGAGAGAUGGGAGAAAACCAAAAGAGAUCAAAAGGCUAUUAAACAACCUGGAAUUAAUAAUAUACUUUCUAAAAAAGUUUCAACCAGAGUAUCCUGUUUCUUUGCUGUCCACUUUCUAUUUAAAAAAUGGUCAUGACAGAGAAGCAUGAUGAAGUAGACUACAAGUGUACUGAGGCAGAAGGCAGAGCCUAAGUUUUAUUUACUUUUGGAUCUUUGGGGCGAAGCACAUGGCCUGCCCACAAAAAAAACACAAGAAGAUGAGGUGAAAAAUUCCUAGGCCCUGCCAUGCAGCCACAGAAAAUGGGAACCUGCCUGACUGUGGACAUCAAAUGAAUUUCGAGGCCCAGAACCUGGAUAGCAUGGUUCACUGAGUCUAAGAAUGAUCACCUUAUAUGGUAAUAUAAGUUGUUUCUGAGCUGAUAUAACUGGGAAUAUAGAAGGCAGGGAGCCUGUCAUUCUCUGCCUCUUUGACCUAGUAGAUACCUUGCUGUGCAGAAUUGGCAAGAAUGCAAACUUUAUGAGUAUUCUGGGACAUACAAGGGAGGCAGUGGGAAGCCACAUUUAUCCUCCUGCAUCUCUAUCUUGUUUAUAUUCUUUGCUCUGCUUCUUAGUUCAUCCAAAACUAAACCAAAGUAAAAUCAACUUGAGUGAAAUCCAGGUCUUUAUUGUCUCCAUUCCUCAAACCCAGGCCAGAUUCCAUGGUCUGAUUUUCAGCUUACAUUCUAUUGUCCAGCUCUGUUUUUACAGUAAACACAUACAUUUAAUAAAAGGUGA